Long non-coding RNA from Daucus carota subsp. sativus, 1040 nucleotides. RefSeq lists it as uncharacterized. NCBI's taxonomy places the organism in Eukaryota, Viridiplantae, Streptophyta, Magnoliopsida, Apiales, Apiaceae. The transcript has 3 exons. The record is from RefSeq and is a predicted model, not a curated record.
AUCAACUGAUUACAUUUCCCUCUACCAAAAAAUUUCAGUUCCCCCUUUACUUUUUCAUCCAAAUUUUCGUUCCCCCCACUUUUUCAACCUAAACUUUGUAAGUGAGAGAUUUAGUUGAAUCUCUCUUCUUCUACAUUUGUUUCUUUCUCUUCCUCUCCCUACUAUUAAUUUGGUGUAUACAUAUCCUUCCCUCUUUUCCCUUCCCUGUCUUCCCUUGUCUCUCCUUCUCCUCCCUUUCCCUCUCCUGUCCUCUCCAUCUGAUUAUCAACCGAGCUUACUCAGAUCUGUUGCCAUCGACGGUGACCCACCAGCCGUUUGAUGCCGAUGUUGACCAUUCUUUAAAGUUUAACAACAACCCACCUGAUGAUGAGGUUGAACGAAAAUCUCAUGGCGAUCUUACUAUCUCACCAACACUAUAUAUAGAUGAUGUUUAGUACAGAGGUUUGUUGACCAGAGAGUUUAAUCCAUUGUCACAUGGUGAGACAGGAGAAAAUUCAUUGACUCAUAUUCCUUUUCAGUGCACAGAGUGUUGCUGCCAUCCGAACGAAAAAUCCUGCCAGCAAUCUACCAAGUCACAGAUGAACUCUAGUUUCCAUUACUGCACCACCAAGGCAGCCAAUGAUGGAGCUCACAACUAUAGAAACACAUAUUGACUCAUAUACAAGGCCAAGUUGAUUAAUUUUUGGUGACGUUGCAAUUAAAGAUAGAUUAAUUUAUGUUUUGUUUAUUGUAUAUCUUUAGGUUAUUUAGAUAUUUGGGAUUGUCAUCCUCACGGGACAUAUUGGUGGAUAUUUGAUGAUAUAUUUGGUUGGUUGUAAUGGUGUUUAUUAGUUCGGAAUGAUAACUUUUGUUUACAAAAUUUUGAAUUGUUAAUUACAUUUUCUAGCCUAGCUUGUUAAUUUCUUAUUACAAAACUAUUGUCCAAACAAAUGAUUUACAAGAGUAAUGAAAUAGAAACAAUUGUCCAAAUAUUUAAAAGACAACAAAUUGGCAGGAAGAAAACCAUUGUAUGAAAUAAGCAAACACAAAAGAAAAAGAAA